RNAcentral lists this ribosomal RNA (789 nucleotides) under uncultured Sulfitobacter sp. RNAcentral describes it as "bacterial SSU rRNA". It matches the Rfam family "Bacterial small subunit ribosomal RNA", at positions 34 to 871 of the family's 1533-position model. The record is from RNAcentral. Lineage: Bacteria; Pseudomonadati; Pseudomonadota; Alphaproteobacteria; Rhodobacterales; Roseobacteraceae.
CGCUGGCGGCAGGCCUAACACAUGCAAGUCGAGCGCACCCUUCGGGGCGAGCGGCGGACGGGUUAGUAACGCGUGGGAACGUACCCUUGUCUACGGAAUAGCCAUUGGAAACGAUGAGUAAUACCGUAUACGCCCUUCGGGGGAAAGAUUUAUCGGACAAGGAUCGGCCCGCGUUAGAUUAGAUAGUUGGUGGGGUAAUGGCCUACCAAGUCUACGAUCUAUAGCUGGUUUUAGAGGAUGAUCAGCAACACUGGGACUGAGACACGGCCCAGACUCCUACGGGAGGCAGCAGUGGGGAAUCUUAGACAAUGGGCGCAAGCCUGAUCUAGCCAUGCCGCGUGUGUGAUGAAGGCCUUAGGGUCGUAAAGCACUUUCGCCAGGGAUGAUAAUGACAGUACCUGGUAAAGAAACCCCGGCUAACUCCGUGCCAGCAGCCGCGGUAAUACGGAGGGGGUUAGCGUUGUUCGGAAUUACUGGGCGUAAAGCGUACGUAGGCGGAUCAGAAAGUAUGGGGUGAAAUCCCGAGGCUCAACCUCGGAACUGCCUCAUAAACUCCUGGUCUUGAGUUCGAGAGAGGUGAGUGGAAUUCCAAGUGUAGAGGUGAAAUUCGUAGAUAUUUGGAGGAACACCAGUGGCGAAGGCGGCUCACUGGCUCGAUACUGACGCUGAGGUACGAAAGUGUGGGGAGCAAACAGGAUUAGAUACCCUGGUAGUCCACACCGUAAACGAUGAAUGCCAGUCGUCGGGUAGCAUGCUAUUCGGUGACACACCUAACGGAUUAAGCAUCCG